CACAUGCAAGUCGAACGGUAACAGGUCUUCGGAUGCUGACGAGUGGCGAACGGGUGAGUAAUACAUCGGAACGUGCCUAGUAGUGGGGGAUAACUACUCGAAAGAGUAGCUAAUACCGCAUGAGAUCUACGGAUGAAAGCAGGGGACCUUCGGGCCUUGUGCUACUAGAGCGGCUGAUGGCAGAUUAGGUAGUUGGUGGGGUAAAGGCUUACCAAGCCUGCGAUCUGUAGCUGGUCUGAGAGGACGACCAGCCACACUGGGACUGAGACACGGCCCAGACUCCUACGGGAGGCAGCAGUGGGGAAUUUUGGACAAUGGGCGAAAGCCUGAUCCAGCAAUGCCGCGUGCAGGAUGAAGGCCCUCGGGUUGUAAACUGCUUUUGUACGGAACGAAAAGCCUGGGGCUAAUAUCCCCGGGUCAUGACGGUACCGUAAGAAUAAGCACCGGCUAACUACGUGCCAGCAGCCGCGGUAAUACGUAGGGUGCAAGCGUUAAUCGGAAUUACUGGGCGUAAAGCGUGCGCAGGCGGUUUUGUAAGACAGUGGUGAAAUCCCCGGGCUCAACCUGGGAACUGCCAUUGUGACUGCAAGGCUAGAGUGCGGCAGAGGGGGAUGGAAUUCCGCGUGUAGCAGUGAAAUGCGUAGAUAUGCGG
RNAcentral lists this ribosomal RNA (652 nucleotides) under Gammaproteobacteria bacterium AT-BI-25. Its description in RNAcentral is "bacterial SSU rRNA". It matches the Rfam family "Bacterial small subunit ribosomal RNA", at positions 52 to 701 of the family's 1533-position model. Lineage: Bacteria; Pseudomonadati; Pseudomonadota; Gammaproteobacteria. The record is from RNAcentral.